Molecule: ribosomal RNA, 470 nt
Filed under: bacterium HBND
Lineage: Bacteria; Bacillati; Bacillota; Clostridia; Eubacteriales
Description: bacterial SSU rRNA
Rfam family: Bacterial small subunit ribosomal RNA
Source: RNAcentral
GAUGAACGCUGGCGGCAUGCCUAAUACAUGCAAGUCGAACGAGGGUCCUUCGGGACUCGAGUGGCGAACGGGUGAGUAACACGUAGGGAACCUGCCCGUGCGACCGGGAGAACUUUCGGAAACGGAAGCUGAUACCGGAUAGGGACAGAGACGGCAUCGACUCUGUGUUAAAGGAGCUGAAAGGCUCCGCGCACGGAUGGACCUGCGGUGCAUUAGCUGGUUGGUGAGGUAACGGCCCACCAAGGCGACGAUGCAUAGCCGGCCUGAGAGGGCGGACGGCCACACUGGGACUGAGACACGGCCCAGACUCCUACGGGAGGCAGCAGUAGGGAAUUUUCGUCAAUGGGCGCAAGCCUGAACGAGCAAUGCCGCGUGAACGAGGAAGGUCUUCGGAUCGUAAAGUUCUGUUGAAGGGGAAAAAGAGCGGAGAGAGGAAAUGGUCUCYGAUUGAUAUUACCCUUCGAGGAAGU